UGCAGUCGAACGGCAGCACGGAGCUUGCUCUGGUGGCGAGUGGCGAACGGGUGAGUAAUAUAUCGGAACGUACCCUGGAGUGGGGGAUAACGUAGCGAAAGUUACGCUAAUACCGCAUACGAUCUACGGAUGAAAGUGGGGGAUCGCAAGACCUCAUGCUCGUGGAGCGGCCGAUAUCUGAUUAGCUAGUUGGUAGGGUAAAAGCCUACCAAGGCAUCGAUCAGUAGCUGGUCUGAGAGGACGACCAGCCACACUGGAACUGAGACACGGUCCAGACUCCUACGGGAGGCAGCAGUGGGGAAUUUUGGACAAUGGGCGAAGGCCUGAUCCAGCAACGCCGCGUGAGUGAAGAAGGCCUUCGGGUUGUAAAGCUCUUUUGUCAGGGAAGAAACGGUGAGGGCUAAUAUCCCUUGCUAAUGACGGUACCUGAAGAAUAAGCACCGGCUAACUACGUGCCAGCAGCCGCGGUAAUACGUAGGGUGCAAGCGUUAGUCGGAAUUACUGGGCGUAAAGCGUGCGCAGGCGGUUUUGUAAGUCUGAUGUGAAAUCCCCGGGCUCAACCUGGGAAUUGCAUUGGAGAUUGCAAGGCUAGAAUCUGGCAGAGGGGGGUAGAAUUCCACGUGUAGCAGUGAAAUGCGUAGAUAUGUGGAGGAACACCGAUGGCGAAGGCAGCCCCUGGGUCAAGAUUGACGCUCAUGCACGAAAGCGUGGGGAGCAAACAGGAUUAGAUACCCUGGUAGUCCACGCCCUAAACGAUGUCUACUAGUUGUCGGGUCUUAAUUGACUUGGUAACGCAGCUAACGCGUGAAGUAGACCGCCUGGGGAGUACGGUCGCAAGAUUGAAACUCAAAGGAAUUGACGGGGUCCCGCACAAGCGGUGGAUGAUGUGGAUUAAUUCGAUGCAACGCG
Molecule: ribosomal RNA, 909 nt
Filed under: uncultured bacterium
Lineage: Bacteria
Description: bacterial SSU rRNA
Rfam family: Bacterial small subunit ribosomal RNA
Source: RNAcentral